GGAAGCCCUAAGAACUCAAGGGAGAUAGGGGUGGCAGGGGCAUUUCCCUGGAUGCCUGGAGCAUGGAGGGUGCGAAAUAAGGAGGCUUUCCUUCCCCAUUGAUGAGCUGAAGUUGAUUCCGCACGGGGAAGGAAAGGGACAGGAAGCAUAAUUGGAUGUGCAAGCCUGUGGUUCUUCAGGAAGUUAACACGUGGAACUAACACUGUUGGAUGCUGCUGAACUCUCAGAAAAAUCAUCAUUGACAUCCAACACCAGCACUGGAAUGUUCAUCAGAGCCUCAAAGUGGAGCCUAUAAGAAGCGUGAACGUUUGGGGGACAGAAAAAAAGAAAAGUAACUUGAGUCAAGUUUCACAUACUCGCCAAGUCUUACUCAGAGAACAGAUCUAAACUCAACAUGACUUUUCAAAGAAACUGCAUGU
Molecule: non-coding RNA, 419 nt
Filed under: Pan troglodytes (chimpanzee)
Lineage: Eukaryota; Metazoa; Chordata; Mammalia; Primates; Hominidae
Source: RNAcentral